RNAcentral lists this ribosomal RNA (498 nucleotides) under uncultured bacterium. Its description in RNAcentral is "partial 16S ribosomal RNA". It matches the Rfam family "Bacterial small subunit ribosomal RNA", at positions 28 to 507 of the family's 1533-position model. The record is from RNAcentral.
GACGAACGCUGGCGGCGUGCCUAAUACAUGCAAGUCGAACGAGAGCGACCGGUGCUUGCACUGGUCAAUCUAGUGGCGAACGGGUGAGUAACACGUGGGUGACCUGCUCAUCAGAGGGGGAUAACAUCCGGAAACGGAUGCUAAAACCGCAUAGGUCUUCGAGCCGCAUGGCUUGAAGAGGAAAAGAGGCGCAAGCUUCUGCUGAUGGAUGGACCCGCGGUGCAUUAGCUAGUUGGUGAGGUAACGGCUCACCAAGGCCGUGAUGCAUAGCCGACCUGAGAGGGUGAUCGGCCACAUUGGGACUGAGACACGGCCCAAACUCCUACGGGAGGCAGCAGUAGGGAAUCUUCCGCAAUGGACGCAAGUCUGACGGAGCAACGCCGCGUGAGUGAAGAAGGUUUUCGGAUCGUAAAACUCUGUUGUUAGAGAAGAACAAGUGCUAGAGUAACUGUUAGCGACUUGACGGUAUCUAACCAGAAAGCCACGGCUAACUACGUG